UAGUGCCCCUUCCUAUAACCCCUUCCUUCUGCAGGGCACUAAACAACAAAUUUCCCUCUUCUCGGAUGUCACUGUUGACCUGUCAUCAAAGCAAAUGACCUCUCCAAUUAGUCUGCACUUGAAGCCCUAAGGAAGACUGUAAGAGGAGCUCCUCCCAGUGCUACCAGUGCCUCUGCUACCUGGGAGUUCUCAGAUUGCCAAAUGUGGGGAGAGAAUGGAGACCCAAUCUUUCUGAAAGCUCUUCUUACAAAAAAUGGAAGAAAUUUGCCUAUAGCCACUCAGCUUGUCAGUGACAGAACAAGAAUUGGAACUCAACCCCCAAAUAUGGAACUCAACCAGGCUGGCAGUUUUCUGUAAAGGUCUAUCCAGCAAGCCAGACAACUACCAUCUUGGGACCUUCAGCUGUGCCUGCUUCCAAAAGAUCAUCUCAUUUGGGCUUGUUGAUUCCUUACAUCUCAUAGAGGGCCACAGAGAGUUACAAGGCUCUCACAUGCUCAGCCUUGUGACUUACAGAUACCAAGUGAGAACUGGGAUGGAGGCUUACCAUUGCUACUUCGGACCUGGAAGGCCUCGAGCAGAUCAUACACAGGCUCCACCUGCAGACUUCGCCUUCCGGAUCUAA
Molecule: long non-coding RNA, 622 nt
Filed under: Mus spicilegus (steppe mouse)
Lineage: Eukaryota; Metazoa; Chordata; Mammalia; Rodentia; Muridae
Description: lncRNA (ENSMSIG00000018867.1)
Source: RNAcentral